Molecule: non-coding RNA, 180 nt
Filed under: Clostridium pasteurianum
Lineage: Bacteria; Bacillati; Bacillota; Clostridia; Eubacteriales; Clostridiaceae
Description: 6S RNA
Rfam family: 6S / SsrS RNA
About the family: E. coli 6S RNA was the first non coding RNA to be sequenced, but its function was unknown until recently. It consists of 184 nucleotides that fold into an extended hairpin structure with a large single-stranded internal bulge.
Source: RNAcentral
AAAUUCCUACUGUGUUCGAGAAGUGGAUUUAUGUUGACCCAGCACUUUUUUUAGGGAACUUAUCCCUUCUUGUGGAAUGAUGUUCAUUUGUAAAAAUGAAAACAAGAAGCAAGAAGGCAGUGCCCACCUGCUGAGAGCGGGUUAUCUUUUAAAUUCAUCAUACGGUACAGUAGGAUUUUA